RNAcentral lists this microRNA precursor (95 nucleotides) under Nannospalax galili (Upper Galilee mountains blind mole rat). Its description in RNAcentral is "miRNA (ENSNGAG00000005600.1)". The record is from RNAcentral. Lineage: Eukaryota; Metazoa; Chordata; Mammalia; Rodentia; Spalacidae.
GAGGCAGGAGGAUCUUUGUGAGUUCGAGGCCAGCUUGGUCAACAAAGUGAAUUCCAGGCCAGCUGGGGGCUACAGGGAGACCCUGUCUCAAAAAG